This 460-nucleotide ribosomal RNA is filed under the name uncultured bacterium. RNAcentral's name for it is "partial 16S ribosomal RNA". It matches the Rfam family "Bacterial small subunit ribosomal RNA", at positions 338 to 795 of the family's 1533-position model. The record is from RNAcentral.
CCUACGUGUGGCAGCAGUGAGGAAUAUUGGUCAAUGGGCGGGAGCCUGAACCAGCCAAGUCGCGUGAGGGAAGAAUGUCCUAUGGAUUGUAAACCUCUUUUGUCAGGGAGCAAAGUCACCCACGUGUGGGUGUUGGAGAGUACCUGAAGAAAAAGCAUCGGCUAACUCCGUGCCAGCAGCCGCGGUAAUACGGAGGAUCCGAGCGUUAUCCGGAUUUAUUGGGUUUAAAGGGAGCGUAGGCGGGUUGUUAAGUCAGUUGUGAAAGUUUGCGGCUAAACCGUAAAAGUGCAGUUGAUACUGGCAUCCUUGAGUACAGUAGAGGUAGGCGGAAUUCGUGGUGUAGCGGUGAAAUGCUUAGAUAUCACGAAGAACUCCGAUUGCGAAGGCAGCCUGCUGGACUGUAACUGACGCUGAUGCUCGAAAGUGUGGGUAUCAAACAGGAUUAGAUACCCGAGUAGUC